Long non-coding RNA from Pseudoliparis swirei, 960 nucleotides. RefSeq lists it as uncharacterized. The record is from RefSeq and is a predicted model, not a curated record. The transcript is spliced from 4 exons. Lineage: Eukaryota; Metazoa; Chordata; Actinopteri; Perciformes; Liparidae.
UGUGUAUGUGUGUAUGUGUGGAUGUGUGUGCGUCCAGAUGAGGAGGCUCUUCCAGAUGUACAUGGGCAGCUGCAGGUCUACAGAGUGGUGACAGCUUUACUCUGCUGCGUGCUGCUGCUCCUGUUACUGAUCCGCUUCACCAGACCUGCCGCCAGUGCCUUACAGAAAAGAUUUGCUAUGUUUUCAGUAUCAGAAAGGAGGCAGAAUCGCUGGAUCGGACCAACACAGAGUCACAGUGUGUCUUAUCAGCGAGGAAUAAGUGCAGUUAAAAACAAUGACGGAGAGAAGAGGCUGUCCUACCCUGCUCAGGAGCGACUGGCAGUCAUUGACAGCAGAGAGCCAUCAUCCAACAGGAACAGUGAUUAUAACUUCUGAUCAUCAUCAUCAUCAUCACCCAUAUGUUGGCCAAGAACACAAUUCCACAUUUGACUAUUUCUUGAUUUCGUUUUUAAUUGUAAUGACUUGAAGAUCAUGUGAAGUUGAUCUUUCAUCUCUUUAUAUACAUACCCACAUACUAAACCUACAGUUCUAACAAAUAGUCAGUAUUUACAACCAUCAAUGUAUAUCGUAUCUAAACUCAAUUUAGCAGCCUUUUUAAACAAGUUAUAUCCUCCUUACCAAAGUUAUAUUCACAUGUGAUAAUUUAAUGUCAUUGUUUUGGGGUUGUUAGAAGUUGUAUUUUUUUUACUUUUAGCUGGUAGUUUCCUGAUUCUUACAGUCUUUGUGCUAAACUAAUCUACACACAACCUGGACCAAGUUUACAAUGACAUACAAAAUCAAUCCCGCCUCAUUCUUUUCAUUUGUUUCAAUUCAAUUCAGUUUAUUUUGUAUAGCCCAGUCUUAAAAAUUACAAAUUUGCCUCAGAGUGCUCUACAAUCUGUACAUGUAGACAUCCCUGUCCCAGAACCUCACAUCGGAUCAGGAAAAACUCCCAAACAACCCUUCACGGGGAAAAAAAGG